This 331-nucleotide ribosomal RNA is filed under the name uncultured bacterium. RNAcentral describes it as "bacterial SSU rRNA". It matches the Rfam family "Bacterial small subunit ribosomal RNA", at positions 32 to 352 of the family's 1533-position model. The record is from RNAcentral.
AAUCAACGCUGGCGGCGUGCCUCAGACAUGCAAGUCGAACGAUUAAAGCUCUCUUCGGAGAGUGCAUAGAGUGGCGCACGGGUGAGUAACACGUAAGUAAUCUACCUUCGAGUGGGGAAUAACGUCCGGAACGGACGCUAAUACCGCAUAAUGCAGCGGCAUCGCAAGAUGACAGUUGUUAAAGGAGCAAUUCGCUUGAAGAGGAGCUUGCGGCAGAUUAGCUAGUUGGUAAGGUAAUGGCUUACCAAGGCUACGAUCUGUAACCGGUCUAAGAGGACGGUCGGUCACACUGACACUGGAAUAACGGGUCAGACUCCGUACGGGAGGCAGC